Molecule: ribosomal RNA, 502 nt
Filed under: uncultured bacterium
Lineage: Bacteria
Description: bacterial SSU rRNA
Rfam family: Bacterial small subunit ribosomal RNA
Source: RNAcentral
AGUUUGAUCCUGGCUCAGAUUGAACGCUGGCGGCAGGCCUAACACAUGCAAGUCGAGCGGUAGAGAGAAGCUUGCUUCUCUUGAGAGCGGCGGACGGGUGAGUAAUACCUAGGAAUCUGCCUGAUAGUGGGGGAUAACGUUCGGAAACGGACGCUAAUACCGCAUACGUCCUACGGGAGAAAGCAGGGGACCUUCGGGCCUUGCGCCAUCAGAUGAGCCUAGGUCGGAUUAGCUAGUUGGUGAGGUAAUGGCUCACCAAGGCUACGAUCCGUAACUGGUCUGAGAGGAUGAUCAGUCACACUGGAACUGAGACACGGUCCAGACUCCUACGGGAGGCAGCAGUGGGGAAUAUUGGACAAUGGGCGAAAGCCUGAUCCAGCCAUGCCGCGUGUGUGAAGAAGGUCUUCGGAUUGUAAAGCACUUUAAGUUGGGAGGAAGGGCAUUAACCUAAUACGUUGGUGUCUUGACGUUACCGACAGAAUAAGCACCGGCUAACUCUGUG